Molecule: ribosomal RNA, 488 nt
Filed under: uncultured bacterium
Lineage: Bacteria
Description: bacterial SSU rRNA
Rfam family: Bacterial small subunit ribosomal RNA
Source: RNAcentral
GAUGAACGCUAGCGGCAGGCUUAAUACAUGCAAGUCGAGGGGCAUCAAGGUACACGAAAGUGUAUUGUUGGCGACCGGCGGACGGGUGAGUAAUAGGUAGGUAACCUACCUCAUACUGAGGCAUAGCUGGGAGAAAUUCCAGGUAAUUCCUCAUGAGGUUAUAUGACACAUGUGAUAUAAUCAAAGGUAUCGCAAGGUACUGGUAUGAGAUGGGCUUACUGACCAUUAGCUAGUUGGUGAGAUAAGAGCUCACCAAGGCGAAGAUGGUUAGGGGUUUUGAGAGAGAGAUCCCCCACAUUGGAACUGAGAUACGGUCCAGACUCCUACGGGAGGCAGCAGUAGGGAAUAUUGGGCAAUGGGCGGAAGCCUGACCCAGCCAUGCCGCGUGAAGGAGACGGCCUUAUGGGUUGUAAACUUCUUUACUAUGCGACUAACUAGAUUUACGAGAUAAUUCUAUAGAAUGUAGCAUAGCAAAAGCACCGGCUAAC